RNAcentral lists this ribosomal RNA (440 nucleotides) under uncultured bacterium. RNAcentral's name for it is "bacterial SSU rRNA". It matches the Rfam family "Bacterial small subunit ribosomal RNA", at positions 338 to 795 of the family's 1533-position model. The record is from RNAcentral.
CCUACGGGGGGCUGCAGUAGGGAAUCUUCCGCAAUGGACGAAAGUCUGACGGAGCAACGCCGCGUGAGCGAAGAAGGCCUUCGGGUCGUAAAGCUCUGUCCUAAGGGAAGAAGCAUGACGGUACCUUAGGAGGAAGCCCCGGCUAACUACGUGCCAGCAGCCGCGGUAAUACGUAGGGGGCGAGCGUUAUCCGGAAUCACUGGGCGUAAAGGGUGCGUAGGCGGCCGAUUAAGCCAGGGGUGAAAGGCUACGGCUCAACCGUAGUAAGCUCUUGAAACUGUAGGGCUUGAGUGCAGGAGAGGAGAGCGGAAUUCCUAGUGUAGCGGUGAAAUGCGUAGAUAUUAGGAGGAACACCAGUGGCGAAGGCGGCUCUCUGGACUGCAACUGACGCUGAGGCACGAAAGCGUGGGGAGCGAACAGGAUUAGAUACCCUGGUAGUC